Molecule: unclassified non-coding RNA, 21 nt
Filed under: Mus musculus (house mouse)
Lineage: Eukaryota; Metazoa; Chordata; Mammalia; Rodentia; Muridae
Description: oocyte_clustered_small_RNA8485
Source: RNAcentral
AGGGCUCAGAGGUCGGAACGG